Molecule: ribosomal RNA, 490 nt
Filed under: Starmerella bacillaris
Lineage: Eukaryota; Fungi; Ascomycota; Dipodascomycetes; Dipodascales; Trichomonascaceae
Description: eukaryotic LSU rRNA
Rfam family: Eukaryotic large subunit ribosomal RNA
Source: RNAcentral
CCUAGUAACGGCGAGUGAACAGGCAAGAGCUCAGAUUUGAAAGGCACUUUUGUGCCGUUGUAUUCUGAAGUUAGGGUCCUGAGAAACGAUGCUUAAGUCUUCUGGAAAGGAGCGCCAUGGAGGGUGAUAGCCCCGUCUAGCAUUGACCUCAUAUAGGAUCUUAACAUGGAGUCGAGUUGUUUGGGAAUGCAGCUCAAAUGGGUGGUAUGCUCCAUCUAAAGCUAAAUAUCUGCGAGAGACCGAUAGUAAACAAGUACUGUGAGGGAAAGAUGAAAAGAACUUUGAAAAGAGAGUGAAAAAGUACGUGAAAUUGUUGAAAUGGAAGGGUAGGCCGCUAACCAUGUAGAGCCGUGUUUGGGGGGAAGAUAAAUGCUGUAGAAUGUAGCUCCUCGGAGUAUUAUAGAUGCAGUUCAUAUUCCCACCCGAGCGCGAGGAUCUCAGGUUCUACUAAAUGGUGGUCUACCACCCGUCUUGAAACACGGACCAAAAA